UUGAAACUUCGGUUCAGUUUGAUUUGGUGGUUUGGGCCAAUUUCAGGCCUGAUUUGUAGGGCCUUUUCUAAUCCAAAAAGGUAAGUAAAAAAGAACAAAUUUAAGCCUCCAUUUAUACAUUUGAGCCAAAUUUAAGCCAGCAUUUAUCCAUUUGAGCCUGCUGUACAAUUCAAAAGUUACAUAAACCAUACAAAAAUGCCCAAUUCUUCCCCAAGGAAUGAACAACAGCAAGUCAGCAA
RNAcentral lists this unclassified non-coding RNA (239 nucleotides) under Hevea brasiliensis (rubber tree). Lineage: Eukaryota; Viridiplantae; Streptophyta; Magnoliopsida; Malpighiales; Euphorbiaceae. The record is from RNAcentral.